This 482-nucleotide ribosomal RNA is filed under the name uncultured bacterium. RNAcentral's name for it is "partial 16S ribosomal RNA". It matches the Rfam family "Bacterial small subunit ribosomal RNA", at positions 29 to 505 of the family's 1533-position model. The record is from RNAcentral.
AUUGAACGCUGGCGGCAUGCUUUACACAUGCAAGUCGAACGGCAGCGCGGGCUUCGGCCUGGCGGCGAGUGGCGAACGGGUGAGUAAUGCAUCGGAACGUGCCCAGUAGUGGGGGAUAGCCCGGCGAAAGCCGGAUUAAUACCGCAUACGACCUGAGGGUGAAAGCGGGGGACCGAAAGGCCUCGCGCUAUUGGAGCGGCCGAUGUCGGAUUAGCUAGUUGGUGGGGUAAAGGCUUACCAAGGCGACGAUCCGUAGCUGGUCUGAGAGGACGACCAGCCACACUGGGACUGAGACACGGCCCAGACUCCUACGGGAGGCAGCAGUGGGGAAUUUUGGACAAUGGGGGCAACCCUGAUCCAGCCAUGCCGCGUGCGGGAAGAAGGCCUGCGGGUUGUAAACCGCUUUUGUUCGGGAAGAAAUCCUCUGGGCUAAUACCCCGGGGGGAUGACGGUACCGGAAGAAUAAGCACCGGCUAACUACG